UUUUUUUAAUUAUUGUCUAAUUGUUAAAACAAUAGCUUGGGUAAAGGCUUCGUUGUUUACUGUACCCUUAUACACAACAACAUAUUCACUUUGGUUUCGUUGUUUACCUAAAUACACAACAACAUAUUCAGUGAGUGACGGUGGAUUUCACAGUGAAAUUCACUAUGUACUUGGUACCUGUUAUUAAUUAAUUGAAUAGAAAAUAUUAUAACAAAUAUUAUUGGAUGCCGAAUUGCGUCAAAUAGUGCCGAUUUGACUAGAUGCCAAUUUAUUCAG
This 276-nucleotide long non-coding RNA is filed under the name Mytilus galloprovincialis (Mediterranean mussel). Lineage: Eukaryota; Metazoa; Mollusca; Bivalvia; Mytilida; Mytilidae. The record is from RNAcentral.